This 450-nucleotide ribosomal RNA is filed under the name uncultured bacterium. RNAcentral's name for it is "bacterial SSU rRNA". It matches the Rfam family "Bacterial small subunit ribosomal RNA", at positions 328 to 793 of the family's 1533-position model. The record is from RNAcentral.
CUCUGUGACUCUACGGGAGGCAGCAGUGGGGAAUAUUGCACAAUGGGCGCAAGCCUGAUGCAGCAACGCCGUGUGAGUGAAGAAGGUUUUCGGAUCGUAAAACUCUGUCCUAAGGGAAGAAACAAAUGACGGUACCUUAGGAGGAAGCCCCGGCUAACUACGUGCCAGCAGCCGCGGUAAUACGUAGGGGGCAAGCGUUAUCCGGAAUCACUGGGCGUAAAGGGUGCGUAGGCGGCUUAGCAAGCCAGGGGUGAAAGGCAUUGGCUCAACCAAUGUAAGCCUUUGGAACUGUUAGGCUUGAGUGCAGGAGAGGUAAGUGGAAUUCCUAGUGUAGAGGUGAAAAUUCGUAGAUAUUAGGAGGAACACCAGUGGCGAAGGCGACUUACUGGACUGUAACUGACGCUGAUGCACGAAAGCGUGGGUAGCGAACAGGAUUAGAUACCCUGGUAG